RNAcentral lists this long non-coding RNA (287 nucleotides) under Elaeis guineensis (African oil palm). RNAcentral describes it as "long non-coding RNA (EGUI_LNC052009)". The record is from RNAcentral. Lineage: Eukaryota; Viridiplantae; Streptophyta; Magnoliopsida; Arecales; Arecaceae.
AGUCCUGCCCGUCGGCAAAACUUGGGAGUGUGGCAGAGGCUCGGCCGCCCGGGAGGUUUGAAGAGAUGUUGCCGGAGGUCGAAAGUCAGUUGGAUCCCUGGAGGGUCACUCCCGUCACGAACUUCGACUGGGGGAUAUUUUAUACCCAACACUAGUCCCCCUACUUUCGAGUUCGAAUUUCGAAUGAAGGAAGUACAGAGAAAUUUUCGCAGUCGAAGUUAUCCCCUUGAAUCCUGUGCAUGAUCGCCUCCAGAUAUUUUGGCAUUAAAUGCGCGCGUGCCGGAGUC